Molecule: ribosomal RNA, 441 nt
Filed under: uncultured Neocallimastigomycetes
Lineage: Eukaryota; Fungi; Neocallimastigomycota; Neocallimastigomycetes
Description: LSU rRNA
Rfam family: Eukaryotic large subunit ribosomal RNA
Source: RNAcentral
GCUCAAAUUUGAAAUCUUAAAGGUUUUACCUUGACGAAUUGUAGUUUAAAGAAGUGUUUUCUGUUGGUGUUUUGGUAAAAGUUCUUUGGAAUAGGACAUCAUAGAGGGUGAGAAUCCCGUAUUUGACCAUUACUUCCAGCGUUGUGAUACACUUUCAAAGAGUCGGAUUGUUUGGGAAUGCAGUCCAAAAUGGGUGGUAAAUUUCAUCUAAAGCUAAAUAUUGGCGAGAGACCGAUAGCGAACAAGUACCGUGAGGGAAAGAUGAAAAGAACUUUGAAAGGAGAGUUAAACAGUACGUGAAAUUGUCAAAAGGGAAGCGUUUGACACCAGUGUUGUUUUCUCGAAAAUCAAUUAAAAAAAGUUGGAUUUUGUAUUGUUAAGACCUUACCAGCUUACUGUACUCUUUUCUUGCUUUUUUUAAUGCACUUUUCGUUUAACAAG